This 543-nucleotide ribosomal RNA is filed under the name Cyanobacterium sp. MS-B-20. RNAcentral describes it as "bacterial SSU rRNA". It matches the Rfam family "Bacterial small subunit ribosomal RNA", at positions 150 to 725 of the family's 1533-position model. Lineage: Bacteria; Bacillati; Cyanobacteriota; Cyanophyceae; Chroococcales; Geminocystaceae. The record is from RNAcentral.
UUGGAAACGACUGCUAAUACCCAAUGUGCCGAGAGGUGAAAGAUUUGUCGUCUGAAGAUGGGCUCGCGACUGAUUAGCUAGAUGGUGGUGUAAGGGACUACCAUGGCGACGAUCAGUAGCUGGUCUGAGAGGAUGAGCAGCCACACUGGGACUGAGACACGGCCCAGACUCCUACGGGAGGCAGCAGUGGGGAAUUUUCCGCAAUGGGCGAAAGCCUGACGGAGCAAUACCGCGUGAGGGAGGAAGGUCUUUGGAUUGUAAACCUCUUUUAUUAGGGAAGAAGAAAGUGACGGUACCUAAUGAAUAAGCAUCGGCUAACUCCGUGCCAGCAGCCGCGGUAAUACGGAGGAUGCGAGCGUUAUCCGGAAUUAUUGGGCGUAAAGAGUCCGUAGGUGGUUUAACAAGUCUGCCGUUAAAGAAUGGAGCUUAACUCCAUGGAGGCGGUGGAAACUGUGAGACUAGAGUACAGUAGGGGUAGCAGGAAUUCCCAGUGUAGCGGUGAGAUGCGUAGAUAUUGGGAAGAACAUCGGUGGCGAAAGCGUG